UUACCACUAAACACACAAUAAAUCACUCCUUAAGUCAUCAUUCAUCAAUAGUUCCGUACAGACUCUUCUUCCUUAAAAAAUUUUUUUAAAAAAAAUAAAACGCAGAAGGCCAAGUUCACAGACUCAACAUGUCACCGUCGAUCUUCAUCUGCCGCCGCUGCGCCACCAAUUCUCCUUCCAGGAGUUUUUGGCCACGGUCGCUAGCCAUGUCCAAUUCUUAUGCAGAGCUUAAAUUGACCCAACUCUUAUUCUAUACUUCAAGAUCUUUGUCAGGUUAAGUUGCUAAAGAGAAGUAUAUGUACUUGGAUGCUUUUUGCUGAUUUUUGUUGCAUUUGUUCUCUCAUACGCAUCACUUUUCUUUCUUCUCCAAGGUUGAUGAUACCAAUUCAUGCAUGUACAAUAAAGGGUGGAUUUCUUCAAUAUAUUGAUUAAUUGUACCUGGCAAAGAGACGUGAUUUUUAAUGAUAGCUCAACGAGGUUAGAGGAUUACGAUUGAGGUUAUCUAGAGUAACUUAUUUCAGAAAACAACUUUGUUAGCAAUUGAAGAUGUAUAUGUAUAAGUAGAUAAAGGUGAGCUUAUAUGGUUUAAAUUAUUGAGCAGUACGAACACUCUUAUGUAAUGUAAGCACUCUUGUAAUGUAAAAGUUGGUUAAUAUUUUGUGGUAUUUACCAAAAAAAUUAAAAAUUCAAUAGUUGCUUUGUGUUGAUGAUGGUCUCCAAAUAUUGAUAGUCAAAUUUAGCGAUUGCAGAUUUGUUUAGAGACUCAACGGUUAGUUACAAAUUAAUUGAUCUUAGUAGUCUCUAAUCUGUCGCCAAAAAAAAAAAAAAAAAAUCGUCUUCGUAGUCGCAAAAGUUUGGUCUCGUAGUCGCUAAUCUGUUGCAAAAUAAAUUAGUCUCCGUAUACGCAAAAGUUUGGUCUCGUAGUUGCUAAUCCGUUGCAAAAUAAAUUAGUAGUCGCAAAAGUUUGGUUUAGUAGUCGCUAAUCCGUCGCAAAAUAUUGGUCUUU
Chenopodium quinoa (quinoa) is the source of this 1006-nucleotide long non-coding RNA. RefSeq lists it as uncharacterized. The record is from RefSeq and is a predicted model, not a curated record. The transcript is spliced from 4 exons. NCBI's taxonomy places the organism in Eukaryota, Viridiplantae, Streptophyta, Magnoliopsida, Caryophyllales, Amaranthaceae.